AAGUCUUUUUGUUCAAAAGUAUGUGCCAAAACAAAUCAAUGUAAUUGAAAGUCGAUGAAUUAUUGUCCAUUAGAGCAUUGUAUGGAGUUGAUCAUUGUUUCUGUUUUCUUUUAAUGGUGUGAGGUUCUACAAGUAUCCAAGUAUGGAAGAGGAACCAGUAGACCGAAAAUGGAAGCACAAGUAUGAUUGAAGUAGAGGAGCUUCUGCCAUAUUCACAUGGAUAUACUGAGUUAACUUUUUCUGAAAGAUGAGGCAAUAAUGAUGACCCACAUUGAUCCCAUAUUCAUGGCUGCCAGAACUCCAAAUGUUAAGGUAGGUGUCGUGGGGGCUGGUACAGCAAGUGUAUUUGAGGAAGUACUGCAGUCAUCAAAGAAAUUCCUCAGUCUUGCCUUUGUGCCAUCAAAAGCUUCUGACCUUGACAGUAACAUAUAAAGACCAAGCAAAGGCAAAGAUCAUUUUGCCUUACUGGGGAAAGUUAUGGAAGUAAGGGAGAAGUCAGUCUAUGCAACAGAGAAGUCAGCAGAAGAGCAAAAAUCACAAACCUAGAUGCAGCUAGAGGAACAAUUGGAAAGAGGACAGUAUCUAGAUUAACUCGAAAAUUCCAUUUAACAGCAUGAGAAGCAUGCUAAGGCAUUGCAGAAGCUGUUAGAAGAAAGGAAUAAGCAUUUGGAUUCGGUUUCCAAGAGAGCAAGCUUGAACUUGAUGUUAGAUAAAUUGGAUUGCAGCUAUUGGAGAAUGACGCUCCUGCUGUUAAUGAUAGAGGCUUGCAACUGAAAAUGAGUGAGCAAUUCAUGAAGAAAAAGGCUAGAUUGGCAAAAGCUGUACAGAAGUUGGGAAGAUAAUCCGGAUGUCAGUUGUAUUGCACUGCAGGGCAGCGGCAAGGCAUUUUGUGCGGAUAGAGAUAUAGUGUCUAUCUUAGCAAGAAAAUCAAAAAGGACACAAGCCAAUGUUUCAUGGAAAAGGACACCCCUGAACUGAAAAAACAAAUGAUGAAAUCAAAAUGGCUGAAUUGGAAGCUAAACUUGGCAGUGAGAUGACCAAAAUUGAAGGCCUUAUUGGCAAGUCUUCCAAGCUACUAGCAUUUUGCUGAUCAAAUUUGAUAUGCUGAGCGUUGUUUCUUCCCAUGUUGCAGACAAGGAAAAAGGAUUGUGUUUCAAAUCUUUUUGAGCAUGGUACUGGUACCCAUGGCUUAUGAACUUUAAUAUGUAAAAGGUUUCCAGUAACCAUUUAUAGUUGUUCCAACAGUGAUUGUAAGUAAGAUUGUUCCAACAGUGAUUGUAAGUAAGAAUACUCAAUAUUCUUAUAAUUCCAAUUGAUCUCAUAUUUUAUAA
This is a long non-coding RNA of Rosa rugosa (rugosa rose), 1331 nucleotides long. RefSeq lists it as uncharacterized. The transcript has 6 exons. Lineage: Eukaryota; Viridiplantae; Streptophyta; Magnoliopsida; Rosales; Rosaceae. The record is from RefSeq and is a predicted model, not a curated record.